Molecule: ribosomal RNA, 508 nt
Filed under: uncultured Desulfobulbus sp.
Lineage: Bacteria; Pseudomonadati; Thermodesulfobacteriota; Desulfobulbia; Desulfobulbales; Desulfobulbaceae
Description: bacterial SSU rRNA
Rfam family: Bacterial small subunit ribosomal RNA
Source: RNAcentral
CGCCUUGCCAGCCCGCUCAGAACUUAAAUGAAUUGACGGGGCCCGCACAAGCGGUGGAGUAUGUGGUUUAAUUCGAUGCAACGCGAAGAACCUUACCUGGUCUUGACAUCCCGGAGACCCUUAGGAAACUAGGGGGUGCUUCCAUCUGGAAGAAUCUGGAGACAGGUGCUGCAUGGCUGUCGUCAGCUCGUGUCGUGAGAUGUUGGGUUAAGUCCCGCAACGAGCGCAACCCUUGCCUUUAGUUGCCAGCAGUUCGGCUGGGCACUCUAAAGGGACUGCCGGUGUUAAACCGGAGGAAGGUGGGGAUGACGUCAAGCCCCAUGGCCUUUAUGACCAGGGCUACACACGUACUACAAUGGCCGAUACAAAGGGCAGCGACACUGCGAGGUGAAGCCAAUCCCGUAAAAUCGGUCUCAGUCCGGAUUGGAGUCUGCAACUCGACUCCAUGAAGUUGGAAUCGCUAGUAAUCGUGGAUCAGCAUGCCACGGUGAAUACGUUCCCGGGCCUU